Molecule: ribosomal RNA, 403 nt
Filed under: Verrucomicrobiota bacterium
Lineage: Bacteria; Pseudomonadati; Verrucomicrobiota
Description: Verrucomicrobia bacterium partial 16S ribosomal RNA
Rfam family: Bacterial small subunit ribosomal RNA
Source: RNAcentral
UGGGGAAUAUUGCACAAUGGGGGAAACCCUGAUGCAGCGACGCCGCGUGAGCGAAGAAGGUUUUCGAAUCGUAAAGCUCUGUCCUAUGAGAAGAUAAUGACGGUAUCAUAGGAGGAAGCCCCGGCUAAAUACGUGCCAGCAGCCGCGGUAAUACGUAUGGGGCGAGCGUUGUCCGGAAUUAUUGGGCGUAAAGCGAGCGCAGGCGGUUAGAAAAGUCUGAAGUGAAAGGCAGUGGCUCAACCAUUGUAGGCUUUGGAAACUGUUUAACUUGAGUGCAGAAGGGGAGAGUGGAAUUCCAUGUGUAGCGGUGAAAUGCGUAGAUAUAUGGAGGAACACCGGUGGCGAAAGCGGCUUUUUGGCCUGCAACUGACACUGAGGCGCGAAAGCGUGGGGAGCAAACAGG